GACGAACGCUGGCGGCAUGCCUAAUACAUGCAAGUUGAACGAUGAUAUUCUCUGCUUGCAGAGAAUUGAAGAGUAGCGAACGGGUGAGUAACACGUGGGGAACCUGCCCAUGAGAGGGGGAUAACAUUCGGAAACGGAUGCUAAUACCGCAUAAUGCUUUGGACCGCCUGGUCCAGAGACGAAAGACGGCUUUUGCUGUCACUCAUGGAUGGCCCCGCGCCGUAUUAGCUAGUUGGUGAGGUAAUGGCUCACCAAAGCUGUGAUACGUAGCCGACCUGAGAGGGUGAUCGGCCACACGGGGACGGAGACACGGCCCAGACUCCUACGGGAGGCAGCAGUAGGGAAUCGUCCACAAUGGGCGAAAGCCUGAUGGAGCAAUGCCGCGUGAAUGAAGAAGGUCUUCGGAUCGUAAAGUUCUGUUAUGAGAGAAGAACAAGUUAAGGAGUAACUGUCUUGACUUUGACGGUACCUAACCAGAAAGUCACGGCUAACUACGUG
RNAcentral lists this ribosomal RNA (498 nucleotides) under uncultured bacterium. RNAcentral describes it as "partial 16S ribosomal RNA". It matches the Rfam family "Bacterial small subunit ribosomal RNA", at positions 28 to 507 of the family's 1533-position model. The record is from RNAcentral.